UUCUUUUUCCACCGGAGCUUGCUCCACCGGAAAAAGAGGAGUGGCGAACGGGUGAGUAACACGUGGGUAACCUGCCCAUCAGAAGGGGAUAACACUUGGAAACAGGUGCUAAUACCGUAUAACAAUCGAAACCGCAUGGUUUUGAUUUGAAAGGCGCUUUCGGGUGUCGCUGAUGGAUGGACCCGCGGUGCAUUAGCUAGUUGGUGAGGUAACGGCUCACCAAGGCCACGAUGCAUAGCCGACCUGAGAGGGUGAUCGGCCACAUUGGGACUGAGACACGGCCCAAACUCCUACGGGAGGCAGCAGUAGGGAAUCUUCGGCAAUGGACGAAAGUCUGACCGAGCAACGCCGCGUGAGUGAAGAAGGUUUUCGGAUCGUAAAACUCUGUUGUUAGAGAAGAACAAGGAUGAGAGUAACUGUUCAUCCCUUGACGGUAUCUAACCAGAAAGCCACGGCUAACUACGUGCCAGCAGCCGCGGUAAUACGUAGGUGGCAAGCGUUGUCCGGAUUUAUUGGGCGUAAAGCGAGCGCAGGCGGUUUCUUAAGUCUGAUGUGAAAGCCCCCGGCUCAACCGGGGAGGGUCAUUGGAAACUGGGAGACUUGAGUGCAGAAGAGGAGAGUGGAAUUCCAUGUGUAGCGGUGAAAUGCGUAGAUAUAUGGAGGAACACCAGUGGCGAAGGCGGCUCUCUGGUCUGUAACUGACGCUGAGGCUCGAAAGCGUGGGGAGCAAACAGGAUUAGAUACCCUGGUAGUCCACGCCG
This 761-nucleotide ribosomal RNA is filed under the name bacterium enrichment culture clone WG_329. RNAcentral's name for it is "bacterial SSU rRNA". It matches the Rfam family "Bacterial small subunit ribosomal RNA", at positions 69 to 802 of the family's 1533-position model. The record is from RNAcentral.